This 497-nucleotide ribosomal RNA is filed under the name uncultured bacterium. RNAcentral describes it as "partial 16S ribosomal RNA". It matches the Rfam family "Bacterial small subunit ribosomal RNA", at positions 28 to 507 of the family's 1533-position model. The record is from RNAcentral.
GAUGAACGCUAGCGGCGUGCCUAAUACAUGCAAGUCGAGCGAAGAGUCGAGUAGCUUUCUCUCCUAACGUUAGCGGCCGAGGGGUGAGUGACACGUGGAUCACCUACCUAUAAGACUGUGAUAACUGCGGGAAACCGGAGCUAAUACCGGAUAAUAUAUUGAACCACCUGUUUCAAUAGUAAAAGACGGUUUUGCUUACGCUUGUCGAUCGAUCCGCGACGCAUUAGCUAGUUUGUAAGGUAACGGCUUCCCAAGGCAACGAGGCGUAGCCGACCUGGGAGGGUGAUCGGCCCCACUGGACCUGAGACGCGGUCCAGACUCCUAUGGGACGCAACGGUAGGGAAUCUUACGCAAUGGGCGGAAGCCUGACGUGGCACAGCCGCGUGAGGGAUAAAGAUCUUCGGAUAGUAAAACUCUGCUAUUAGGGAGGAACAAAUGUGUAAGUAACGAGGCACGUCUUGACGGUACCUAAUCAGAAAGCCACGGCUAACUACGUG